GAUGAACGCUAGCGGGAGGCUUAAUACAUGCAAGUCGAGCGGUAACUGACCGAUAGCAAUAUUGGUUAGCUAGAGCGGCGCACGGGUGAGUAACGCGUACAUAACCUACCCUAUACUGGGGGAUAGCCUUGGGAAACUGAGAUUAAUACCCCAUGGUAUUAUUUGGCCACCUGGUUGAAUAAUUAAAGUUGCGGCGGUAUAGGAUGGGUGUGCGUCGGAUUAGCUAGUUGGUGGGGUAACGGCCUACCAAGGCUUCGAUCCGUAGCUGGUCUGAGAGGACGAUCAGCCACACUGGGACUGAGACACGGCCCAGACUCCUACGGGAGGCAGCAGUGGGGAAUCUUGCGCAAUGGGCGAAAGCCUGACGCAGCCAUGCCGCGUGAAUGAUGAAGGCCUUAGGGUUGUAAAGUUCUUUUACCCGUGACGAUGAUGACGGUAACGGGGGAAUAAGCUCCGGCAAACUUUGUG
Molecule: ribosomal RNA, 468 nt
Filed under: uncultured bacterium
Lineage: Bacteria
Description: bacterial SSU rRNA
Rfam family: Bacterial small subunit ribosomal RNA
Source: RNAcentral